GAGUUUGAUCCUGGCUCAGAUUGAACGCUGGCGGCAUGCCUUACACAUGCAAGUCGAACGGCAGCACGGGAGCUUGCUCCUGGUGGCGAGUGGCGAACGGGUGAGUAAUGCAUCGGAACGUAUCCUGGAGUGGGGGAUAACGUAGCGAAAGUUACGCUAAUACCGCAUAUUCUGUGAGCAGGAAAGCGGGGGACCUUCGGGCCUCGCGCUCUUGGAGCGGCCGAUGUCGGAUUAGCUAGUUGGUGAGGUAAAGGCUCACCAAGGCGACGAUCCGUAGCAGGUCUGAGAGGAUGAUCUGCCACACUGGAACUGAGACACGGUCCAGACUCCUACGGGAGGCAGCAAUGGGGAAUUUUGGACAAUGGGGGCAACCCUGAUCCAGCCAUGCCGCGUGAGUGAAGAAGGCC
Molecule: ribosomal RNA, 407 nt
Filed under: bacterium enrichment culture clone ALO1_GLFRUDD03F0XGQ
Lineage: Bacteria
Description: bacterial SSU rRNA
Rfam family: Bacterial small subunit ribosomal RNA
Source: RNAcentral